This 865-nucleotide ribosomal RNA is filed under the name Lactococcus garvieae. Its description in RNAcentral is "bacterial SSU rRNA". It matches the Rfam family "Bacterial small subunit ribosomal RNA", at positions 20 to 865 of the family's 1533-position model. Lineage: Bacteria; Bacillati; Bacillota; Bacilli; Lactobacillales; Streptococcaceae. The record is from RNAcentral.
UGGCUCAGGACGAACGCUGGCGGCGUGCCUAAUACAUGCAAGUCGAGCGAUGAUUAAAGAUAGCUUGCUAUUUUUAUGAAGAGCGGCGAACGGGUGAGUAACGCGUGGGAAAUCUGCCGAGUAGCGGGGGACAACGUUUGGAAACGAACGCUAAUACCGCAUAACAAUGAGAAUCGCAUGAUUCUUAUUUGAAAGAAGCAAUUGCUUCACUACUUGAUGAUCCCGCGUUGUAUUAGCUAGUUGGUAGUGUAAAGGACUACCAAGGCGAUGAUACAUAGCCGACCUGAGAGGGUGAUCGGCCACACUGGGACUGAGACACGGCCCAGACUCCUACGGGAGGCAGCAGUAGGGAAUCUUCGGCAAUGGGGGCAACCCUGACCGAGCAACGCCGCGUGAGUGAAGAAGGUUUUCGGAUCGUAAAACUCUGUUGUUAGAGAAGAACGUUAAGUAGAGUGGAAAAUUACUUAAGUGACGGUAUCUAACCAGAAAGGGACGGCUAACUACGUGCCAGCAGCCGCGGUAAUACGUAGGUCCCAAGCGUUGUCCGGAUUUAUUGGGCGUAAAGCGAGCGCAGGUGGUUUCUUAAGUCUGAUGUAAAAGGCAGUGGCUCAACCAUUGUGUGCAUUGGAAACUGGGAGACUUGAGUGCAGGAGAGGAGAGUGGAAUUCCAUGUGUAGCGGUGAAAUGCGUAGAUAUAUGGAGGAACACCGGAGGCGAAAGCGGCUCUCUGGCCUGUAACUGACACUGAGGCUCGAAAGCGUGGGGAGCAAGCAGGAUUAGAUACCCUGGUAGUCCACGCCGUAAACUAUAAGGGCUAGCUGUAGGGAGCUAUAAGUUCUCUGUAGCGCAGCUUACAGCAUGAAGC